RNAcentral lists this ribosomal RNA (253 nucleotides) under uncultured bacterium. RNAcentral's name for it is "partial 16S ribosomal RNA". It matches the Rfam family "Bacterial small subunit ribosomal RNA", at positions 524 to 776 of the family's 1533-position model. The record is from RNAcentral.
GACAGAGGGGGCAAGCGUUGCUCGGAAUUACUGGGCGUAAAGGGCGCGUAGGCGGGAUGGCAAGUCGGUCGUGAAAUCCCUCGGCUUAACCGGGGAACUGCGUCUGAUACUGGAUGGCUUGAGAUUGGGAGAGGGAUGCGGAAUUCCAGGUGUAGCGGUGAAAUGCGUAGAUAUCUGGAGGAACACCGGUGGCGAAGGCGGCAUCCUGGACCAACACUGACGCUGAGGAGCGAAAGCCAGGGGAGCAAACGGG